Non-coding RNA from Macaca mulatta (Rhesus monkey), 1565 nucleotides. Lineage: Eukaryota; Metazoa; Chordata; Mammalia; Primates; Cercopithecidae. The record is from RefSeq and is a predicted model, not a curated record.
GGCCAUGAGGGGCCCACAUCAUGGCCACACAGUCCCAUGGCCUGGCUCAGGUAAGGUGCCACACACCUCCGGUAGUAGCAGCUGCAUCCUUGAAGUCCGUCAGUCUGAAGGGGAGAGAAAUGAUAGGAAAUGUUACAGCGCCAGGAGGACGGAUACCAUGCUACAGUGGUCCUCAGAGUAAUGGCCAAGGAAGAUCUAAGAUUCCUGUCUACAGCUACGAAUGAAUACCACCAACAGACAGACUGCAGAAGCCACGGGAUGUCGCCCUCUUUACCUGCAAAGGCUGACCUACAUGGACUCUUUCUCAAGGAGAGUACAAAAAAUCACAACGCAGCACUGCCAAUAUUCAAAAUGAUAGUGGGCUAAGAACAGCAUAAAUGCUAAAACUGGAUUUUGAAGCCAGUUACCUCAAAAUGAGGUGACAGAAAAUGGACCACCACACAAGUCCAAGCUAUGGAAAUACCGUGCUUGGAACAAUUACAGAGUUUGCUUAUGGUAGAGAAGCAUAGAGACAAAGGGAAAAGUCAAAUCCUGCCAAUCACUUCACAAGACUACACGCACACAUGCAUGUGUAUUAUGUACACUCAACAUAUUCACAAACCCUCACUUAGUCCUCUUUCAGGAAUCCACAUCUUCCCCACCAAUGCAACACAACAGACAUACCAAAGUGAUAAGAGAAUGCCUAAGGAAAUGAAAACUCAGGCUGGUCCCCCUGAAAAACAGCCCCACUAUUGAUUCCCACGUGCAUCAAGCUAGCUCAGCUCUUCAUUCCCUUACAAGUGCUGUCCCUGGAGCCCUUUCUUCUUCUUCACCCAACUUAAAAAAAUCAGCUGCAACAUGACCUAGGCAGUCUUCUCUGACUCCUGAGUUUGAACAGGAUGCCUCACUUCUCUGCAUGCCACCAUCACUGCUCACAGAACAUUAGCUUCAAUAAUGAACUAACUCAUCAGACUAGGAGCAAGGAGCACAUUCUCCUCCAGCUGAUGUCCCCAACACAGUAACUGAUACACAGGAAGUGCUCAAUAUUCUGUUGAGUAAACAAACUGGAAAAGCACAGUAAAUGAAGGGGAAACAAACUCGAAUACUAGUUUGGGCACCUAAUGAAUGUCUGGUACCAUGCUAGGCAUUUUAUUCAUAUUAUUUCAUUUAAUCCUAAAAAAAACCUUACAUUCACUUUACUGAUGAUGAAUCCAAGACUCAGAAAAGUUAAGUAACUUUUCUAUAAUUAAAUAACCAAUAAGUAGUAAUGCCUAGAUUAAAACUCAAAUCUGUCUGAGUCUACAGUGCCUAUUAAAUGGAAUGAAACACAUACUUAGACUCUAUCCCCUCCAUUAUCUCUAAUCUUUAGGUACGAGACAAAAGCCAGGCUGGAAACACUCCUCCAUGUUUAUACCAAGGCCCUUUGUGGAAAAUCUCUAAAAGCACAUCACUGACUUUUCAUCAUCACCACAGCCGAUCAGUCCCCCUCUCCCUUGUAGCCACAGGCACCCACUGCACAACACUUCCUUUUGCACACACUGCUCAAUGUUUGCCUUGCUACAUCCCACCACAUGAACCCUCAGUGC